CGUGUAGGCGGUGUAGUAAGUCGGAUGUGAAAUCCCCGGGCUCAACCUGGGAAUUGCAUUUGAUACUGGGUAGCUAGAGUUUGGUAGAGGUAAGUGGAAUUCCGGGUGUAGCGGUGAAAUGCGUAGAUAUCCGGAGGAACAUCAGUGGCGAAGGCGGCUUACUGGACCAAAACUGACGCUGAGGCUCGAAAGCGUGGGGAGCAAACAGGAUUAGAUACCCUGGUAGUCC
This 229-nucleotide ribosomal RNA is filed under the name uncultured bacterium. RNAcentral describes it as "partial 16S ribosomal RNA". It matches the Rfam family "Bacterial small subunit ribosomal RNA", at positions 568 to 796 of the family's 1533-position model. The record is from RNAcentral.